UACGGGGGGGGUAAGCGUUGUUCGGAAUUACUGGGCGUAAAGGGCUUGUAGGCGGCCAACUAAGUCGGACGUGAAAUCCCUCAGCUUAACUGGGGAACUGCAUCCGAUACUGGAUGGCUUGAAUCCGGGAGAGGGAUGCAGAAUUCCAGGUGUAGCGGUGAAAUGCGUAGAUAUCUGGAGGAAUACCGGUGGCGAAGGCGGCAUCCUGGACCGGCAUUGACGCUGAGGAGCGAAAGCUAGGGGAGCGAACAGG
RNAcentral lists this ribosomal RNA (253 nucleotides) under uncultured bacterium. RNAcentral's name for it is "partial 16S ribosomal RNA". It matches the Rfam family "Bacterial small subunit ribosomal RNA", at positions 524 to 776 of the family's 1533-position model. The record is from RNAcentral.